CUUGUUUGUAAGAUGAAGCUGCAAUCCAUUCAGUUACUCAGCUGAUGUUGGUUACCAGAGCUGAUACCACCUGGUCUUCCUCUGGAGAUGCCAGGAGGACGACAGCCUUCUACCAACUCUUUGGCAAGACUCAUGCAGAAGUGUAUUAGCUCCCCCACCAUCUUUUACAUUGUUCCCACAGCUGAAACAAGGAGUGUUUCAACAGUGAUUGUGUCAGUUUUCUUCUCUGCCUCAGAGGAUGUGCCCAUGAGAAGCUGUGUUAGAUGGGAUGGGAGAGCAGUGUGACACUGUACAAGAAUUAGACUGGAUGAAUCAGUGAAGACAGAUGACAUGAGUAUGUCGCUGACCCCCCAGCAUGGUGGAGCCAUGAGUGCUUGUGCCAGCUAUUUCUAGAUUAUGACUUACUGUUACUAUAGAGCAUUUUCAGCAUCAGCUGUAUGAAAAAAUUCAAUUUAUCAAACUUACUUUGAACACGAGCUGAAUCCAGAAUUUAACCCAAUUUAUGGACGGCUCAAGGG
This 518-nucleotide long non-coding RNA is filed under the name Gallus gallus (chicken). RNAcentral describes it as "lncRNA (ENSGALG00010004756.1)". Lineage: Eukaryota; Metazoa; Chordata; Aves; Galliformes; Phasianidae. The record is from RNAcentral.